This is a long non-coding RNA of Gadus macrocephalus (Pacific cod), 3301 nucleotides long. RefSeq lists it as uncharacterized. The record is from RefSeq and is a predicted model, not a curated record. Lineage: Eukaryota; Metazoa; Chordata; Actinopteri; Gadiformes; Gadidae. The transcript is spliced from 3 exons.
UUUGAAUACUCAAAAUGUUCCACUCCACGGAAAUCUUUAGUAAAAGGCGAAAGAUUUAUGCGAUCUGAAGUGAAACAAGAGUGUACUGCAGAACGCAAGUCAGAGGACAGACCCUAUUUUCUCAGAUGUUUUUCUGCGUCACGGUUUCAUUCUUGUCCCAUUGUUUUACUUUUGAGUGGAAUUGGAACGCGUCAGAUAGAGUAGGACUCGUAGCGCAGGAGACGUAAAGUGUACACUAAAAUACGCAUCACUUGAUUUAUUUAAUGGAAUGAGCUUUAUUUCAUUAUGACUAAAGGGAUGUUGGGAGCUCUGCAUGGAUGUUCCUCCAUUCAGGAUUCACAGUAACUCCAACUCUAUUCUUUACGCCCCACUAUCUAUAACUAAUAUCUAUUCUAAUUUGUUAUUUGAUAAAAGGUAAUAUAGUCUCGAUUUAUUGGACAAUGUGAGAGCUGUUAAUUUGGUGCAAGAACAAAAAGCAACGCAUUCAACGGUUGGUCCGAAGUAGGCUCUUAAUAUCACGCACGUUUGAAGGAUUAAUUUAGACAAAUAAGAAAGCCCCGCGUUAAGCAGGGCAUCAAAAAAUUGGUGAAUACUCAAAAUGUUCCACUCCACGGAAAUCUUUAGUAAAAGGCGAAAGAUUUAUGCGAUCUGAAGUGAAACAAGAGCGUACUACCGAUUUCAAGUCAGAGGACAGACCCUACUUUCUGGGAUGUAUCUCUGCGUCACGGUUUCAUUCUCGUCCCAUUGUUUCACUUUUGAGUGGAAUUUGAACACGUCUGAUAGAGUCGUAACGCAGAAGACGUAAAGUGUACACUAAAAUACGCAUCACUUGAUUUAUUUAAUGUAAUGAGCUUUAUUCCAUUAUGCCUAAAGGGAUGUUGGGGGCUCUGCAUGGCUGUUCCUCCAUUCAGGAUUCACAGUAACUCCAACUUUAUACUUUACGCCCCACUAUCUUCUAUUCUCAUUUGUUAUUUGAUGAAGAACGGGCCAAAUAGAUGAAGGACGUUGGCUAAACGUUAAUAGUGUCGAUUUGUUGGACAAUGUGAGAGCUGUUAAUUUGGUUAAAGAACCAAAUGCAACGCCUUCAAUGGUUAUUGAGAAAUAAGCGCUUAUUGUCAUGCACGUUUGAAUGAUUAAUUUAGACAAUUUAGAAAGCCCCACAGUAAAGCAGGGCAUCAAAAAAUUGGUGAAUACUCAAAAUGUUCCACUCCACGGAAAUCUUUAGUAAAAGGCGAAAGAUUUAUGCGAUCUGAAGUGAAACAAGAGUGUACUACCGAGUUUAAGUCAGAGGACAGAACCUACUUUCUGGGAUGUAUCUCUGCGUCACGGUUUCAUUCUUGUCCCAUUGUUUCACUUUUGAUUGGAAUUAGAAUACGUCGGAUAGAGUCGUAACGCAGAAGCCGUAAAGUGUACACUAAAAUACGCAUCCUUUGAUUUCUCUAAAGGGGUUGUACUUUAUUUGGUGUGCCGAAAGGGAUGCUGGGAGCUCUGACAGGCUGUUCCUCCAUUCAGUAUUUUAAAUAACUCCAAGUCUAUACUUUACGACCCACUAUCUAUCUAUUCUCAUUUGUUAUUUGAUGAAGAACGGGCCAAAUAGAUGAAGGACGUUGGCUAAAAAAUAAUAGUCUCGAUUUGUUGGACAAUGUGAGAGCUAUUAAUUUGGUUAAAGGACCCAAUGCAACGCAGUCAACGAUUAAUGAGAAGUAGGCGCACGUUUGAAUGAUUAAUUUCGACAAUUGAGAAAGCCCCGCGGUAAAGCAAGGCAUCAAAAAAUUGGUGAAUACUCAAAAUGUUCCACUCCACGGAAAUCUUUAGUAAAAGGCGAAAGAUUUAUGCGAUCUGAAGUGAAACAAGAGUGUACUACCGAUUUCCAAGUCAGACGACAGACCCUACUUUCUGGGAUGUAUCUAUGCAUCACGGUUUAAUUCUUGUCCCAUUGAUUCACUUUUGAGUGGAAUUGGAUCACGUCGGAUAGAGUCGUAACGCAGAAGCCGUAAAGUGUACGCUAAAAUACGCAUCCUUUGAUUUCUUUAAUGGGUUGUACUUUAUUUGGUGUGCCGAAAGGGAUGCUGGGAGCUCUGACAGGCUGUUCCUCCAUUCGGUAUUUUAAAUAACUCCACCUCUAUGCUUUACAACCCACGAUCUACAACUUCCAUAUAUUCUCUACACUUAAUAUUUGAUGAACAUUGACUAGAUAUAAUAUAUUCGUUGAUAUAUUUGGGACAAUGUGAAACACCUUAAAUUUAAAGAAAUAAAACACAACAGGUCACAUCUUAAAUCGAUUACUAGUGGACUGAUAGGCUUUAUCAUUUGACAGCUUAGGAAGCCCCGCAAUGAAGCAGGGCAUCAAAAAAUUGGUGAAUACUCAUAAUGUUCCACUCCACGGAAAUCUUUAGUAAAAGGCGAAAGAUUUAUGCGAUCUGAAGUGAAACAAGAGUGUAAUGACGAUUAUGUGUCCCGGGACCGACCAGUUUCGCCGGUAUACACCUCUACGUCAUGGUUUUGAUCUAAUCCCGUUGUUUUACUCUUGUCCAUAGUGGAAUUGGAAUAUGCACAUAAAGUCGUAACUCAGAAGACAUGUGUACACGAAAAGUCUCAUCAAGGUGGCUUCUUCUAUCCAAUGAUUGUUAUUUCAUUAUGCCGAAAGGGAUGAUGGGAGCUCUAUCUGUCUGAUCCUCCACUGACGAUGGAAAUAUGCUCCACCUCUUUACACAGCACGUCACUAUCUUCACUAUCCAUGCUGGAUAUUGAACGAACAAAGCAGAUACGUACGAUAAAACUCAUAUUAAUCGAUCUACUAGAUCAUUGUUAGACUUAAGUAACCUCCUGGUAAUCAAUAUGUAUACCAAAUAGGUGUGCAGAGCCAGGAAAAGAGCUACUGCUCCAUUUGUAGGUUUAACUACAGCCCAGAAUUCAUAAUUGAGACCUGGAGACCUCAGAAAUCUAUGACAUAGGAAAAGUGUGAACAGCCAGGAAAUCGGGAUGAAGAAGGUAGAAGUGUUUAUGGUCCAACUUCUCGGUAUAGUACUGCGUUGGCCUGGAAAACACAGAAUCCAAUCAGCAAUCACCUCAAUCAACAGCAGCGGGGAGAAUGGUCAUGUGGCUAUUCAGCCACUCAUAGUAUGUAAAUAUAUUUAAGGUAAUCUUUAUCCUUUUUGGUUAAAGCUUGUUCAGGGAAGGGGGGAAGGUACAGUUUGAGAAAAGUCUAGUGUAUGAGUAAAACAUACAAAUAAAGAUGCCAUGUCAUACAGUGUUGAGUUACUGCACCAAGCUAUGAAAAUGUAGAGGGUGAAUGUUUACC